AGUGAACGCUGGCGGUAGGCCUAACACAUGCAAGUCGAACGGCGGCACAGUAAGAGCUUGCUCUUACGGGUGGCGAGUGGCGGACGGGUGAGGAAUACAUCGGAAUCUACUUUUUCGUGGGGGAUAACGUAGGGAAACUUACGCUAAUACCGCAUACGACCUAUGGGUGAAAGCAGGGGAUCUUCGGACCUUGCGCGAUUGAAUGAGCCGAUGUCGGAUUAGCUAGUUGGCGGGGUAAAGGCCCACCAAGGCGACGAUCCGUAGCUGGUCUGAGAGGAUGAUCAGCCACACUGGAACUGAGACACGGUCCAGACUCCUACGGGAGGCAGCAGUGGGGAAUAUUGGACAAUGGGCGCAAGCCUGAUCCAGCCAUACCGCGUGGGUGAAGAAGGCCUUCGGGUUGUAAAGCCCUUUUGUUGGGAAAGAAAAGCAGCAGGUUAAUACCCCGCUGUUCUGACGGUACCCAAAGAAUAAGCACCGGCUAACUUCGUG
RNAcentral lists this ribosomal RNA (492 nucleotides) under uncultured bacterium. RNAcentral describes it as "partial 16S ribosomal RNA". It matches the Rfam family "Bacterial small subunit ribosomal RNA", at positions 29 to 507 of the family's 1533-position model. The record is from RNAcentral.